GAAAUACACAGAAUGAUCAAAACAACUUCCAAUUGCAGUCUAAAAGUGCAAAAUAUACCACAACUGUGACAGAAAUUCUAAAUGUUAUGGCUUGUUCAAAUAAGUUUUAAACUAUUAUUUGUAAAUAUUACUCCAAACCUUGAUUUUUAUCUUCGUGAACAAGAUAUUUACCCUACAAAUAGUAUAUUGUCCUUCAAAAACAUUAUAAAUUAUACUUGGCAAU
This 223-nucleotide long non-coding RNA is filed under the name Mytilus galloprovincialis (Mediterranean mussel). Lineage: Eukaryota; Metazoa; Mollusca; Bivalvia; Mytilida; Mytilidae. The record is from RNAcentral.